UACGGAGGGGGCUAGCGUUGUUCGGAAUUACUGGGCGUAAAGGGCGCGUAGGCGGUUUACCAAGUCAGGCGUGAAAGGCCUGGGCUCAACCCGGGAACUGCGCUUGAUACUUGUAGACUUGAGUCCGGGAGAGGAUGGCGGAAUUCCCAGUGUAGAGGUGAAAUUCGUAGAUAUUGGGAAGAGCACCGGUGGCGAAGGCGGCCAUCUGGACCGGAACUGACGCUGAGGCGCGAAAGCGUGGGGAGCAAACAGG
This 253-nucleotide ribosomal RNA is filed under the name uncultured bacterium. Its description in RNAcentral is "partial 16S ribosomal RNA". It matches the Rfam family "Bacterial small subunit ribosomal RNA", at positions 524 to 776 of the family's 1533-position model. The record is from RNAcentral.